UCAGAAUGAUUGUGCCUUAAACAAUGGA
Molecule: non-coding RNA, 28 nt
Filed under: Rattus norvegicus (Norway rat)
Lineage: Eukaryota; Metazoa; Chordata; Mammalia; Rodentia; Muridae
Source: RNAcentral